RNAcentral lists this ribosomal RNA (253 nucleotides) under uncultured bacterium. RNAcentral describes it as "partial 16S ribosomal RNA". It matches the Rfam family "Bacterial small subunit ribosomal RNA", at positions 524 to 776 of the family's 1533-position model. The record is from RNAcentral.
UACAGAGGGUGCAAACGUUGUUCGGAAUUACUGGGCGUAAAGCGCGUGUAGGCGGCUAGGUAAGUCAGGCGUGAAAUCCCACGGCUCAACCGUGGAAGUGCACCUGAUACUGCAUAGCUAGAGUCCUGGAGAGGAAGGUGGAAUGCUUGGUGUAGAGGUGAAAUUCGUAGAUAUCAAGCGGAACACCGGUGGCGAAGGCGGCCUUCUGGACAGUGACUGACGCUGAGACGCGAAAGCGUGGGGAGCAAACAGG